GCCUGGGUGGCUCAGUCGGUUAAGCAUCUGACUUAAGCUCAGGUCAUGAUCUCGUGGUUCGUGGGUUCACACCCUGCGUCAGGCU
Felis catus (domestic cat) is the source of this 85-nucleotide non-coding RNA. Lineage: Eukaryota; Metazoa; Chordata; Mammalia; Carnivora; Felidae. The record is from Rfam.